UUUAAUUGAUGACUUGUAUGAAGGAUUGGAUGAAAUAUAGACUGUCUCUUAGUUAAAUAUAGAAUUUAAUUUUUUAAUUAAAAAGUUAAAAUAAUUUAAAAAGACGAGAAGACCCUAUAGAGUUUUAUAAAUAAAUUAAUUGAGAUUAUUUAUUAAAUAAAAAUUAAAAUUAAGUUGUUUAUUAUAUUGGGGUGAUAGAAAAAUGUAAUUAACUUUUUUUUUAUAUGUGAAAACAUUUAUAAGUGAUUAUAUGAUCCAAUAUUAUUGAUUAUAAGAAAAAAUUACCUUAGGGAUAACAGCGUAAUUUUUUUUUUUAGUUCAUAUAAGAAAAAGAGUUUGCGACCUCGAUGUUGGAUUAAGAUAAAAUUUAAAUGCAGAAG
Molecule: ribosomal RNA, 380 nt
Filed under: Sciomesa mesophaea
Lineage: Eukaryota; Metazoa; Arthropoda; Insecta; Lepidoptera; Noctuidae
Description: partial 16S large subunit ribosomal RNA
Source: RNAcentral